AGUGGUGAAGGCAUUAUAUGUCACAUUGGACUGAAGUAAAUUUAGUUGUAAAAUUAUUAGUGCGUUUUCCGUGCCCAGCCUCUAUAGGAAACAGUGAAGACCUUUCGCCAGGAAGAAGGCAGUUCAGUGGUAGGAAUAAUUACGGUGUGGGGUGCCUGCAUGUGGAGAUCUUCCUUCAUAAACUGGGUCAAGUGAGCACUCAACUGGCUGCUCCAAACCAUCCCAGUUAUAACAUUUCGGUACAGACUGGGUAGAAAAAACAGUUUCUAACAGUACCUCUAUUGCUACAUGCAUAUCUGUUGCCGCAGGAACCUGUUUGCCAAGCCAUUGCCUAGAAAUGGCUCUACACAGUACAGUGUAUAUACUAGGCAUAUGAGCAAGUAACAGAGGUACAAAAUACUAUAAGUGCGAAAUUUGUCACUGCUAAAUGCAAAUUUGAUAAGGAAAAGAUGUGUGUUUUGUUCCUAUGAAAAAAAUGGUUAAAGGUGUGGGAACCUCCUACAGUCCAACAGACUACUCCUUCGGUCACAGAAACAGACAGCUCAAACUCCUUCGGUCAGACAGACAAUUCUAACUCUCAGGGUAUAUGUGACUUUUGACUUUUAGUAAACACACUCACGGCUCUGCAUACGAAUACGCAUCGGUCCAGCCUUCGUUGGUCUACGCGCUUCACUGCAAGCACAACUCCAAUAAACAGCACCGCAGCGCCUGGCCAGCUAGAUUCAUCGCUCUCCUGCCGGUUCAUAACUACCAAGCGGCCAAAAAGAAGGCCCUGACUAUCCAGCUAGACUCACUGGCUUGUAACUGCCAAGUGACCGUAAGGAGGGCCCAGGCUACUACAAAUGAGACACGGGUGACAACGCCCUUUUCAGGGCCAGCAUUCUUCAUGGCACCGACAAGCCGAAUUGGAUGCUAUGAAAACAGUCAACUUAUAUUAUCCGAGGGGGCACGAAUGGCUCCCCAGCCAUCCUGUAUAUUUGUGAAUAAUAUAUAUACCUGUUAUAGCUUUAUGUGGUUGUCUCUUUGGAACAUCGACAUCCCACAAAGGCAACUGCUAACAAAGGCCUGAAGUUGAAAACUAAGUUUUAAAAAAUGCACAAACAGUUAUUAUUCAGAGAAUAUCGAAAAUGAAGUAUAGGCUUAUUUUAACCUAAGCAACACUGCUUUAAAACUACACACAUAUUUGUCCAUGCUACAAAAGAAAUUUAUUGUCAUGUGUAAAAUGAAAUGACAAGGCAUUUGACCUGCACUGAUAAUAAUGCUUGAAUUACAUUUUACAGUUUCUGCAGAACCUUUCUAUAUAGAAUAAUUAGAAUAAUUUCAGCACUACCUUGUACCCACAAACCCAAAUGUUACAGUUAAAUGGGUAACAGUCCUCAGCCAUACUCUGGAGGUCCUGUAUGCUAUCUUCGCCCAGCAACUGGCUAUCCUGACUGAGAAUUUUCAUGGUUUAUCUCAGUCCCUCCAGUAAAAUUCCAGGAUACUACCUCAAAUUAAGCCACAACUGAUCCCUUUCUUAUGCUUCCUAACUCAUCAUUCCCUUUUAAAAUCACUUUGUCAUCCAGUGUAACAUACCAUGAGUUCUGACAGGCUGUUUAAUGAACCAUAAAUAAAAUAUAAACACAUUCACAGUAAAAAGCAGAAGGCAUUCCAUUUACAAUGCAACCCAAACUACAGUGCAUGCAAGCAGACAGCUGGUGUCAGCAAUGUUUUAUUUGGUACUUCCUAAUCAAUGUAUGUAUGGUUUAGAAAAUGCUUCAUAAACAGCGGCAGACAAUUUCAAUGUGAGGUAAUGUUCAAGAAUUAACACAUUUUCUACUCAUAAAUGCACUAUGCUUGCACUUGCAAACCUCCUGUGCAACUUGCAAGAACAAAAGUGUAGCAACCUGAGCAAUGUUGGUUAAUUCAAGUGUCAUGAGGAAAGCUGGGGGUGUCUGUUAUAUCGGGUAUUGGCUUCUGAGUUCUUUUCUGUACUGCAGUAUGUGGCAGUUGUUAGGGUUGCAUUUUAAAAUGGUGCACUCUGUAUAACAGAAACACCAAUUAACUAUCUUUCACAAUUUAUUUACAAACCAAAGUAGUACUGACAUCCAUAUUAAACAUUUGGUAGUUCAUAAAACAUAAUUCUGAUCACAGUGUUUAAUUUUGCAGUGUGGAAGACAUAAUUCCCUAGGCAUCAGUAAUAAUGACAUAACAAGGAGAGAACACUUUCAAAUACAUCUGAGAAUCAGUUCUGUAAUAAAUGAGCAAUGUAUGAAUCUCUCAAGCAGAAACAAUUGCAAAACGAAUUUAUGAACAUAUACAUUACUAGCAAAAGUAGGUGCGCUUCACCCAGGAUACAGUUUUCUCUCCAUAUCAAUAUCAAAAUAUAAAUAUCUGAAAUUUUAAAGAAGGAAUGGCAUUCAAAUACUAUAUCAGUUGUAAGGAUAUGUAAUGUGGUAGUUACCAACUUUUCUGAGGACUCUGCUACCUCCAUCUUCACGAUAUACCAAUGAGGACAUACUGCUGUGAUAAUCUCAAAUCCCAUGAAUUUUUAAACAAGUUCAAAAGCCAUUCUUUUAAGACUGAUUUUCUGAGAAGUGAUGUGAUACAGGUAGAGUUACCAAUGUUAUCAGAGGAAAUGAACAUGCUGCCUCCACCUCCUCCUUCAGCAUAAAAGUGAGCUGAGUGAGGAAAUCAGUUACAUAAGGAAGGGUUAGGGCAGUGGUUGUAAGUAACACCACAAGACCCAGGGGCCCUAUAGAAGUAACUUUUUCAGGUCUUGAAGAAGAGGCAGCAGGGCCCUGCAAACAUUGAUAACCAUCUACCGAACUACAUGGUGUCACCACACAUAUUGGUGAUUUGUUUUUUGUAGGUGUGUGGUUUAUUCUGAGUUUUCUUCAGUCCCUCUAGGCAAAUACUGGGAGCACCUUGUUUAGGACAUGAUCACUUCCUUCCACAUCCCUACCAAUUUAUCAUUCAAUGCUAUACAAGGUGUCCCAGGAGAAAAGAUCGAUAUUCUGGGAGGUCACAGUAUUGGUCAUUCUAAGCAAAAACGUGCAUAUGUA
This is a long non-coding RNA of Cryptotermes secundus, 3044 nucleotides long. RefSeq lists it as uncharacterized. The transcript has 2 exons. Lineage: Eukaryota; Metazoa; Arthropoda; Insecta; Blattodea; Kalotermitidae. The record is from RefSeq and is a predicted model, not a curated record.